CUGAACCAGCCAAGUAGCGUGAAGGAUGACUGUCCUAUGGGUUGUAAACUUCUUUUAUAAAGGAAUAAAGUCGGGUAUGUAUACCCGUUUGCAUGUACUUUAUGAAUAAGGAUCGGCUACCUCCGUGCCAGCAGCCGCGGUAAUACGGAGGAUGCGAGCGUUAUCCGGAUUUAUUGGGUUUAAAGGGAGCGUAGAUGGAUGUUUAAGUCAGUUGUGAAAGUUUGCGG
Molecule: ribosomal RNA, 227 nt
Filed under: uncultured bacterium
Lineage: Bacteria
Description: partial 16S ribosomal RNA
Rfam family: Bacterial small subunit ribosomal RNA
Source: RNAcentral